Molecule: non-coding RNA, 316 nt
Organism: Caenorhabditis elegans
Lineage: Eukaryota; Metazoa; Nematoda; Chromadorea; Rhabditida; Rhabditidae
Source: Ensembl
UCCGCACCUUCCCUAAUUUACAUUAGAAAAUAGUGUAGAGGUGCCAUGAAAUGUCACAUUAGUGAAUUAACGAGUGUUGCAAAAAGAGAGAACGAAGUAAACGGGAAAAAGUGUCCAUACAUCCUUAUUCCUUCAUUCGACUCAAUUUCGAGUAGGUAAACAAGACAAACAUUUCAAAAAGGAACGACGAAGCUUGUGUAUUCAGACGAGUUGUUAAUUUUUGAUGAGUAUUAGGUAGAGUUAUAUUUGUUUGAAUCUGUGUGUCUUUCAUUCUCUGGAGAAAUGGAGAAUAAAAGAAAAAGAUGAUAACAACAAG